RNAcentral lists this transfer RNA (69 nucleotides) under Diporiphora nobbi (nobbi lashtail). RNAcentral describes it as "tRNA-Tyr". Lineage: Eukaryota; Metazoa; Chordata; Lepidosauria; Squamata; Agamidae. The record is from RNAcentral.
GUAAAGAGAGGGUUACACCCCGUAAAUGGAAUUACAACCCACCGCCUGUUCUCAGCCAUCUUUACAAUG